RNAcentral lists this ribosomal RNA (472 nucleotides) under uncultured bacterium. RNAcentral describes it as "bacterial SSU rRNA". It matches the Rfam family "Bacterial small subunit ribosomal RNA", at positions 29 to 490 of the family's 1533-position model. The record is from RNAcentral.
AUUGAACGCUGGCGGCAUGCUUUACACAUGCAAGUCGAGCGGCAGCGCGGGGGCAACCCUGGCGGCGAGCGGCGAACGGGUGAGUAAUGCAUCGGAACGUACCCUGGAGUGGGGGAUAACGCCGCGAAAGCGGCGCUAAUACCGCAUAUGCUCUGAGGAGGAAAGUGGGGGACCUGCAAGGGCCUCACGCUCUGGGAGCGGCCGAUGUCCGAUUAGCUAGUUGGUGGGGUAAAGGCUUACCAAGGCGACGAUCGGUAGCUGGUCUGAGAGGAUGAUCAGCCACACUGGGACUGAGACACGGCCCAGACUCCUACGGGAGGCAGCAGUGGGGAAUUUUGGACAAUGGGGGCAACCCUGAUCCAGCCAUGCCGCGUGAGUGAAGAAGGCCUCGGUUGUAAGACUCUUUGGUUCGGGUAAGGAAAUACGCAUGGUUAAGUACCUCGUGUGGAGUGACGGUACCGGAAGUAAGAAG